Molecule: unclassified non-coding RNA, 2505 nt
Filed under: Hevea brasiliensis (rubber tree)
Lineage: Eukaryota; Viridiplantae; Streptophyta; Magnoliopsida; Malpighiales; Euphorbiaceae
Source: RNAcentral
GUGGGCUAGUGGGUGCAUUUCUUGGUCUUUCCAUUACCUUCCUUCUCCUUUGCGCUUCAACCCUUGCUUAUUUGGCCUCCAAAUUUCUUGGCUUGUUUGGAUUGGACUUACCUUGCCCUUGCAAUAGCUUUUUUGGAGUUCCCGACAACGCCAACAAUACCGGCUUGCAAAGACGAUUAGUUGAUUACCCCUUACCGAAAAUUUCCUCUGUUCAAUCUUCUGCGAAGAGCAAGUUCCCUUUUGGUACGAUAAGGAACGAUUUGCAGUUGAAUUCCAACAAGGAAAAUGACGGGAAUGGUGAUAAACAUGAGGGUAUUGGAUUGGAGGGUGAGGUCUCGUGCAUCUCAUCUUCAGAGAGGAGGACAGACAAUUUUACAGGCGAAGAUUUGGCUAAGAUGAAAGGAAAGAGUUUUGUGAUGGGUACAUUGAACUUGCCGGAUGUGAAAGAAGGGAGAUAUGAGUUGAAAAGGAAGUGGGUAACUCGUCACAGAUCAAGAAAUGGCCUCAGACGCCGCAGAAAAGGCUCUGUUGAUUACAAUGGGAAGUUGCCCUGGGUGCCAUCACAUAAAACUUUAUGGUCGGAUGCAGAAACUCGUCAAUCCGCUCCUGGCAGAAUCAGUGAAUCAGAGGAUGACACAGACAAAGGCUGCAAGGAUCCUGCUAAUAACUUUGAAGGUGAAUCAGGUGAUGGUUUUGUUUGUUGGCUUACAAUGUGCUCGAAAAUUUUCAUUCUUCUUUGGCCGCGCGCUUGAGCACUUAAUUUAAGCAAAUAUUGAACGUAGAAAGAAAAAUUAUGACAGGAAUUUCAAAGCAUGUUUCUCAUUAUUUUUUCACAUGCUGAUGCAGCCUGUAAUGUGAAUGGUUGUGAAAUUUUGGAUGGAAAGGAAACCUCAGUGGAUAUUGGUUCGAAGAGAAAGUUUUCCUAUGAUUUUGAACUGAAUGAAUCUGUAGAUGAGAAUGAACCCGCAGAAAAAAAUGCAUCAACUGCUGAGGAGUUCAAUUCACAUAGAAAUCAAGUUUCUGAUUGCAAUGCAAAAAAUACAAUAAGACUCUUGGAACAAGCACUAGAAGAAGAGCAUGCUGCUAGAGCUGUCCUCUAUAUCGAACUAGAGAAAGAGAGAAGCGCUGCUGCUUCUGCUGCAGAUGAGGCCAUGGCUAUGAUAUUGCGUCUACAAGAGGAGAAGGCGUCCAUAGAAAUGGAAGCAAGACAAUGCCAGAGGAUAAUAGAAGAGAAAUAUGCAUAUGAUGCUGAAGAAAUGAACAUUCUCAAAGAGAUCUUAGUAAGGAGAGAGAGGGAAAAGUAUUAUUUGGAGAAUGAAGUUGAAGCCUACAGGCAAAAAAUUUCUGGUAAUGAGCAGUUGUAUGCUGAAAUGUAUGGUAUGUCAGCAACAAAGGGAGAGAUAACAUUAUAUACUAGCGAUGAAGAUUCGGUGCUGAAACUGCCACAUAGUAGUGAUUACAUUGGCGAGGAGGAGAAGGCAGAAAAUGUAAACUGGAAAGAUUUACGAAGUACGAAAUAUAGUGAAGAUAAAAACUGUUCAAAUCAAAUUGACAUUCCAAGGCAUCCAAGUCCUGAAAAAAAUCCUGAUGAGGAAAAGAAAGCGCAGAAAUUAAAUGCAACUUCAAAGUUCAUUCAGUCUAAUAUUCCUCCCCCACAUAAUUUGCAUCAGAAAGCUAUUGAUGACAAAGAAAGUGAAGGUGAUAUUCAUGAUGUUCAUGUCGUUGAUGAUCAAGCCAGUGUCUAUAAGCAGGUCAUGAGAGACAAAAAUAGGCAACUUUCGACUAAUGCUGCUGCUACCUCAAAAAAUCCUAACAUUUCCAUGGGAUUACCACCAACUGGUAGUUCAAGAAGCAGAUCCUUGCGUUAUGACAUGCGAAGAAAAUCCAUGUCUGCAUUUGAUGUUGAAAGGUUUAAAAUUGACAAUGAAAUUAGUUGGCUGAGAGAAAAGCUAAAAUUUGUGCAAGAAGGAAGAAAGAAGCUACAUUUAACCAAAGGGAACAAGGAAAGAGAGAAAAUUCAGCUACAAACUUUGGAGGAUAUCAUCAACCAGCUUCGAGAGAUUCGACAGUUAACAGAACCUGGAAAGGCUGCCCGCAGGGCCUCAUUGCCUCUUCUAACAUCCAAUGUAUUUACUCCUUUAAUUUUAUUACUACCAUUAUUGUAAUAGAGCUGCUACUUUUUGAUUAACAGAAAAAUUAAAAUUUGCAUCAAAUUUCAGGUUAAGUCGAAGAAAAGACGUUGGCGUAGUGGUCCUUUGCUGGUGGAAGGAAGCAUCUAGGAUAGUGCAGAGAAUUUUCAUGGCUCUGGAUGGCACCUGCAAUUAUUUGAUUUCUUCAAUCUCUUACAGAGUUGUAUUUUAGUUGUUACUUGAGCAGUGAACUUAUGAAGGGUGAUAAUUUGGUGGAUAACAAUUAACUUGACAAGUAAAUUUCCUGUAUGGAUAUAGAGCUGUUAAUUUGGAAACUAUAAUUUUGUAUGAAUUCAAUUGAAGUGAUAUUUUUUUU